UACGAAGGGGGCGAGCGUUGUUCGGAUUUACUGGGCGUAAAGGGUGCGUAGGCGGCGCGGUAAGUCGGGUGUGAAAUCUUGGAGCUUAACUCCGAAACUGCAUUCGAUACUGCCGUGCUUGAGGACUGGAGAGGAGACUGGAAUUUACGGUGUAGCGGUGAAAUGCGUAGAUAUCGUAAGGAAGACCAGUGGCGAAGGCGGGUCUCUGGACAGUUCCUGACGCUGAGGCACGAAGGCCAGGGGAGCAAACAGG
RNAcentral lists this ribosomal RNA (253 nucleotides) under uncultured bacterium. Its description in RNAcentral is "partial 16S ribosomal RNA". It matches the Rfam family "Bacterial small subunit ribosomal RNA", at positions 524 to 776 of the family's 1533-position model. The record is from RNAcentral.